This 506-nucleotide ribosomal RNA is filed under the name uncultured bacterium. RNAcentral describes it as "partial 16S ribosomal RNA". It matches the Rfam family "Bacterial small subunit ribosomal RNA", at positions 29 to 523 of the family's 1533-position model. The record is from RNAcentral.
AGUGAACGCUGGCGGUAGGCCUAACACAUGCAAGUCGAACGGCAGCACAGGAGAGCUUGCUCUCUGGGUGGCGAGUGGCGGACGGGUGAGGAAUACAUCGGAAUCUACUCUGUCGUGGGGGAUAACGUAGGGAAACUUACGCUAAUACCGCAUACGACCUACGGGUGAAAGCAGGGGAUCUUCGGACCUUGCGCGAUUGAAUGAUCCGAUGUCGGAUUAGCUAGUUGGCGGGGUAAAGGCCCACCAAGGGGACGAUCCGUAGCUGGUCUGAGAGGAUGAUCAGCCACACUGGAACUGAGACACGGUCCAGACUCCUACGGGAGGCAGCAGUGGGGAAUAUUGGACAAUGGGCGCAAGCCUGAUCCAGCCAUACCGCGUGGGUGAAGAAGGCCUUCGGGUUGUAAAGCCCUUUUGUUGGUAAAGAAAUCCAGCUGGCUAAUACCCGGUUGGGAUGACGGUACCCAAAGAAUAAGCACCGGCUAACUUCGUGCCAGCAGCCGCAGUAA